This 415-nucleotide long non-coding RNA is filed under the name Marmota monax (woodchuck). Lineage: Eukaryota; Metazoa; Chordata; Mammalia; Rodentia; Sciuridae. The record is from RNAcentral.
ACUGAGGAUAUUAUAGUAAGCUCACUCACUGCUGCCUGCCCCUCCCAGGUUCCUUAGCCCCAGUCUCCCAACACCACACAGAUGGGCUGACAACUAGCACAUCUGCUAGUACUGCCAAAAUGUAAACACACUCAGCUGGUAGCAGAUGUUUUCCAGGAAAGAUCGCGACCAAUGGAGUUGUGCUGCUUUGGAUUCUACAUUAGUUAAUCUCUAUGGUUGGGCCUAAGGCCAUUCUGUUCAAAUAGAUCAUGUUCCUCUCAGGAAUAGAACACUAACAGGGUAAGUACUAGUUCAACUCUUGGGUAUUGACCAUACAAUAUAUGGAGAAAAUUUAUUAAUGUCUCUCCUAAUAGGUCAAGAUUUUUCUUUAAAAAAAAUGGGAAUUUAUUUGACUUUAAGACAUAUUUACUGAGAA